RNAcentral lists this long non-coding RNA (4233 nucleotides) under Olea europaea subsp. europaea. Lineage: Eukaryota; Viridiplantae; Streptophyta; Magnoliopsida; Lamiales; Oleaceae. The record is from RNAcentral.
UUCUCAGUGUUUGGAAAAUCAUUCAAGGAAUGCCUUGAACAUUUGGAAAAAGUGUUACAGCGGUGUGAAGACACAAACCUUGUAUUAAAUUGGGAAAAAUGUCAUUUCAUGGUUCAGGAAGGGAUAGUGUUAGGACAUUUAAUUUCAGCACGAGGUAUUGAGGUUGAUAGAGCUAAGAUACAAGUCAUCAAAAAACUACCACCGCCAGUAACAGUAAAAGGAGUUAGAAGUUUCCUGGGUCACGCUGGGUUCUACCGUCGCUUCAUCAAAGACUUUUCCAAAAUCUCGAAGCCAUUGUGCAAUUUACUGGAAAAAGCGGCCCCAUUUCACUUUUCUGAGGAUUGCUUGACAGCUUUCAACACCUUAAAAGAAAAAUUGGUUUCUGCUCCAGUAUUGGCUUCUCCAGAUUGGAAUUAUCCGUUCGAGCUUAUGUGUGAUGCCAGUGAUCACGCAGUGGGCGCAGUGUUGGGUCAACGAAAGGAGAAAAGUUCUCAUGUGAUUCACUAUGCCAGUAAGACUUUGGAUGAGGCUCAAAUGAAUUAUGCGACUACAGAGAAAGAGCUGUUGGCAGUAGUGUUCGCCGUUGACAAAUUCAGAUCAUACUUGAUUGGGUCAAAAGUGAUUGUCUAUACAGAUCAUUCAGCAUUAAAAUAUCUAAUGAGCAAGAAGGAUGCAAAGCCGAGACUUAUUCGUUGGAUACUCCUAUUGCAAGAGUUUGAUCUGGAAAUUAGAGAUAAAAAGGGGAGUGAGAAUGUUGUGGCAGAUCACCUCUCACGCCUUGAAUCACAUGAGUCAAAUCCUACAUUGGAGAUCAAUGAAGUCUUUCCUGAUGAAAUGCUCUUUCAGAUUAUCACUACACCAUGGUACGCCGAUUAUGUCAAUUAUUUGGCCCGCUCCAUCAUCCCACCAGACUACUCGAGUCACCAAAAGAAGAAAUUCUUCAGUGACCUAAAACACUACUUUUGGGAUGAUCCAAUUCUUUACAGAAGGGGUCCAAAUCAGAUCAUACGCCGUUGUGUGCCAGAGGUGGAGCAGCAUCAAGUAUUAGAGUCAUGUCACUCUGCACCGUAUGGGGGCCACUUCGCAGCAACCAAGACAGCAACAAAGGUACUGCAAUCGGGUUUUUAUUGACCUACGUUGUUCAAGGACACCCACUAUAUGGUGAAACAUUGUGAUAAGUGCCAAAGGACUGGAAAUAUCUCAAAGAGGAACGAGAUGCCUUUGAACAGUAUCUUGGAGGUUGAAAUAUUCGAUGUUUGGGGCAUUGACUUCAUGGGACCAUUUCCUCCAUCCUAUGGUCAACAAUAUAUAUUAGUGGCAGUGGACUACGUGUCUAAGUGGGUUGAAGCUAUAACUUUACCAACUAACAAUGGUCGAGUGGUAACUCAAUUCCUGAAGAAGAAUAUUUUCACAAGGUAUGGCACCCCGAGGGCAAUUAUUAGUAAUGGUGGAAAGCAUUUUUGUAACCGCUUAUUUGCUUCUUUAUUGGCCAAAUAUGGAGUGAAACAUCGUGUCUCAACUCCAUACCACCCUCAAACUAGCGGGCAAGUGGAAAUCUCCAACAGGGAGUUAAAGAAGAUUCUUGAAGCCACGAUCAACGCAUCACGUAAGGAUUGGGCUAAGAAAUUGGAUGAAGCACUUUGGGCGUAUAGAACAACAUUUAAGACUCCAAUUGGCAUGUCUCCAUAUCGACUGGUAUUUGAAAAUGCUUGUCAUCUGUCGAUUGAGUUAGAGCAUAAAGCAUACUGGGCGACACACUUGCUAAAUUUCAAUAUGAAAGCAGCAGGAGAAAAGAGGGUUCUACAACUUCAUGAGCUAGAUGAGUUUCGUUUGGAUUCGUAUGAGAAUGCAAAGAGUUACAAGGAAAAGACCAAGAAAUGGCACGACAGACAUAUAAGGGAGAAGGAGUUUGAGAUUGGUCAACAAGUAUUGAUGUUCAAUUCACGCCGCAAGCUUCUUCUGGGAAAGCUAAAGUCUAGGUGGUCGGGUCCAUUCACAGUAGUAGCUGUGUUUCCACAUGGUGCUGUGGAAGUGGUGUCUCAAGAUCAACAAAGGAGGUUCAAAGUAAAUGGACAACGGUUGAAAGCUUAUUGGGGAGGUGACUACUCCACUGAAAAAACAACCGUACCACUUGAUAAUGUAGAGUAGCCAGGACAACAAAGUCUAGCUAAAGACUAUAAAUUAAGCGCUUAUUGGGAGGCAACCCAAAUUCUAAACCUUUUAUUUUAUUUUGUUUUCUGCAUCGCAUUACAUAUAGAUUUGUUUUAAUUAUUAGUUGCAUUAGAUUUAGACACGUUUAAAUUUAUAGACUAUCAUCAUCCGAUCAUAUUUUCAUUGAUGCUCUUAAAUAUAAUGUUGGUUAUUUCGAGUGUUUGGGCUAAGUAACGCAUGUUUGGAUUUUUUUAUCUCUACUGUUUGAUUUGAUUUCCAUAUGCAGGAACAUGACGUCGUAGAACACUCAAACCAAUAUCGACCAAGGGGAAAGUAUGAUGAGAAAGAUUGUCUAACCGUCACCUACAGUAUCUUCCACAUUUAAUAGAAAAAUUUGGGGAGUACCUUCGUCCUUUUCUUCCCCAUCCCCUUAUAUUCUUAAUUAUAUUUUAAGACAUUGAAGACAAUGUCAGACUUAGUUUGGGGGUGGGAAACACUUUGUGUUUUUGGUUUUCGUAUGUUUUCGUGCGUUGUUUACAUAUGUUAAAAAAAAUCGUUAAAUUUUUAUUUAUUUUUACUUAUUUUUUUUAUUGUGUGCUUGUGUGGGUUAGACGGUUUGGCUGACAAUGAUGAUUAAAUUUGAGAUUUGGCGUUGAUUUAUGAACUGUGGAUAGGAAGCAUGCUAGACUGAUUGAAACUUGAACUUGCAAAACUUGAUAUUAUACAUGCACUAGAACUGAGCUGACAUUAUGAUGAAAUGAGUUGAUUCAUGCACUUGAUAGAUUGAAUUAGUUGGACAUAGAUACUUUACCAAAAACUAAACUAAUUAUUUAUCCUUAGACCAAAUUCAGUACAGUUUGGGAAGAUCUUGCUGUUGCAGGAAAAUAAAGAUGCGAAUGUGGAUUUCUUGUGUGAAAAAAUUUUGUGUGGAUUGUUUGAAAUUAAUAGGAAAAAAUUGGGUGAAAGUCUUAAAUAGGAGGUCAAUUUGCUUGAAUACGUGUGUGAUAAGGGACAUUGCACUAAUCAAGGCAUAUAUUUUGAAAUUUAAUUUGAGCUUUUAUGACUCGGGCAAUUAAGUAUGCAAGGGUAUCUUAAAACCUGGUGCCCUAAAGUCAUCUGACUUGGGAGUCAUCGGCCUAAAGCUCGUUACAGAGGUCGUUUAAAAAGCAAUCGGAGAGAAAAUUGCCCUAAAAAAUUGUUCUCUUCGAAGCCUUUUUAACUCGGGUUAUUAAGCCUAUAAGGGUAUUUGAAAACCUGGUGCCCUAAAGUCAUCUGAUUUGGGAGUCAUCAGCCUAAAAUUUGCUACAUGGGUCAUCUAGAAAGCUUAAGGCAGAGUGCAAAAAAAAAGCACUAAAUGCCUUGUAAGUCCCAACACUUGUUCGAGGAAAUUUAACUUUUGAUAAAGGAUAAUUAGCCUAAUUGAAUCUCGAUGGUCGAAGCAAUCAAAUAAUUGGAAAAUCCUUGUUCAUUGAUGUGUUGACUUGCAACUAGUGACGUCCACCUGAAUUGGAGAGAGUGAGGAUAGUAAUGAAAAAUCCAAUCUUAGAUCACACACUGGGAAAAAGAGUGAAAAAGAAUAAGUUUGGGGGAGAGUGAAUCUUACAGAGAUGAAAAGAUAUAUUUGACCAUAGAGGAUCGGGAAUUGGAACAACUUGUGAAUUCAUUAAUGUCUACUUAGUUCUUCACACACACGUGUCAGUUUUGCAUUGGAAAAGUGGAUAUUAGUUUGGUAUUGUAACUUUGAAGUAGUUUGUAGAUUUAACGCCGUGAUUUCAAAUCCUGAGGUAAAAAGCUGAACGGUCCAACCAAACAUUUUGGCAUGCUUGUGUGUUUGAUAUUAUUUAGGUUAUAUUUUUGUUUGAGGACAAACAAAUGUCUAAGUUUGGGGGUGUUUGAUAAGUAUAUUUUAUAUACUUAUUCGUGACUCUAAAAUAGCGAUAUUUAAUAAGGCUAAAUAUAUUCCUAAAUUGUUGUUUUUAUGUUUAAUAGGUGGAUUUCUACGAAUAAAAAGGAAUGAAAGGAAAGAAGCAAAAACGGGUGAAAUUAGCAAAAUCCCAAGUACGUGGAUUAAAUUGGUCAUUG